Small nucleolar RNA from Hibiscus syriacus, 107 nucleotides. Lineage: Eukaryota; Viridiplantae; Streptophyta; Magnoliopsida; Malvales; Malvaceae. The record is from RefSeq and is a predicted model, not a curated record.
AUUUGAUAUUGAGGAAAACUAAUGCAUAAUUGCUUGAAUCUCUCCCAAUAUUCGUACAAAGUCUCACCAGUGAGUUAAAUAAUGCCAUAGAUUUCUUUUCUGAUGUU